AUAUUCCUUUAAAUAGUAGAAUAUUCCGUUUAAAAACUAACGGAGUUACCUGACACUGUCAGUAUAUUUCGUCAAAGUGGAUGGAAUAUUCUCCUUCUUUUCCAAUGGCUUCACCGGAAUCUGCCACCUGCCCCCGUUUGUGUUGCUAGUUUCUGGAAAAUUUUCUAAAGCUUAUAACUACUUAAUUUCUCAACCAAAUUUCUCGAAUUUUAUAUGGAUUUGAAGCUCUCAACUAGAAGAACACAAUCUUACCUAUUUGAGGUCCUAAAACCGACAGAAAGUGGUUGGAAAAGCCUUCAAAACCUCUGGCUAAACCUGUAACUUCAUGACCUUGAGUGAUCCGACGUUCAAACCACUCCAAAAUUGUUCCAAAAUGAUGGGGAAGUUAGAUGAGUACUUUCUUGAAUCUCAAAAUCAACUAAAUCACUCACAAUCACAUAGGAGGAAAUUGGACCCCUUGCUGGAGCUCGGGUCUCUCGAGUUCUACAUGUCCUUUAUUAAAGAAAAAGGCACCUCCAGGUUUGUGAAGUCGAGAGGAGCACGAGGAUGUUAUCCUUGUGCUUGAUCCGUGAGGAUUUGAUGGGUUUCUGCGUGGGUGGUCUACAAGUUGUACGAACGAGGAAAAAUUGAGAA
Molecule: long non-coding RNA, 633 nt
Filed under: Malus domestica (apple)
Lineage: Eukaryota; Viridiplantae; Streptophyta; Magnoliopsida; Rosales; Rosaceae
Description: long non-coding RNA (MDOM_LNC000849)
Source: RNAcentral